ACCUAGCGGAAGGAUCAUUG
This 20-nucleotide ribosomal RNA is filed under the name Dipteryx lacunifera. RNAcentral describes it as "partial small subunit ribosomal RNA". The record is from RNAcentral. Lineage: Eukaryota; Viridiplantae; Streptophyta; Magnoliopsida; Fabales; Fabaceae.